AUGGCUACGGGGGAAGAUAGUGUCGGGCGGCCGUCGCCAUGGAUUUUUGCUGCACAAUUGUUUUGCUGGAACCACCAUUUUGGCUUGCUGGAAUCGGCGAGGAUGAUGAUGGGCGGCUACGACGGUGGCGCCAUGAUUAUUUUUGCUGCAUUGAUUUUUGCUGGAACCGUAUCAAUUUUUUGUUGGAAUCAUGUUGUGUUUUUGCUGGAAUCAUAUCAAUGUUUUGCUGGAAACAAGAUCAUUUUUUGCUGGAACCAUAUCAAAAUUUUGUUGGGACCAUGUUGUAUUUUUGCUGGAACGAUAUGA
This 306-nucleotide ribosomal RNA is filed under the name Triticum aestivum (bread wheat). RNAcentral's name for it is "partial small subunit ribosomal RNA". Lineage: Eukaryota; Viridiplantae; Streptophyta; Magnoliopsida; Poales; Poaceae. The record is from RNAcentral.